Rhineura floridana is the source of this 252-nucleotide long non-coding RNA. RefSeq lists it as uncharacterized. The transcript has 3 exons. The record is from RefSeq and is a predicted model, not a curated record. NCBI's taxonomy places the organism in Eukaryota, Metazoa, Chordata, Lepidosauria, Squamata, Rhineuridae.
GAAUGUUCCCCUGGGGUUCCAUCUUGAUGGGUGGUUACCUAUGUGGGGUUCCACUGCUUCUUACCUGAUGCUAUUUCUCUGAGAAGAGAUGAGACUUACCAUCAACUACCUCUAAGCUGUCAUCAUGCAAUGUGACUGCAGCCUUCCAUGGUGGCAGGUUUGGCACAGCAGGGAAAUGGCACCACAAGAUUUCUGCAUAUUCUGUUCCUGUUGGAAUUGUGUUUUGAUACUGGACUUUUGAAAAUAUUGAAC